This 253-nucleotide ribosomal RNA is filed under the name uncultured bacterium. RNAcentral's name for it is "partial 16S ribosomal RNA". It matches the Rfam family "Bacterial small subunit ribosomal RNA", at positions 524 to 776 of the family's 1533-position model. The record is from RNAcentral.
UACGAAGGGGGCUAGCGUUGCUCGGAAUCACUGGGCGUAAAGCGCACGUAGGCGGCUUUCUAAGUCAGGGGUGAAAUCCUGGAGCUCAACUCCAGAACUGCCUUUGAUACUGGGAAGCUCGAGUCCGGAAGAGGUGAGUGGAACUCCGAGUGUAGAGGUGAAAUUCGUAGAUAUUGGGAAGAACACCGGUGGCGAAGGCGGCGACCUGGUCCGAUACUGACGCUGAGGCGCGAAAGCGUGGGGAGCAAACAGG